CCUCUUUCCAUCGUGCUUCUCGUUCCUCUAAAACUUAAGUGUAUCUGACUGCCACAGAUGGCAGUCAAUGGGCACGGAAAGACCGACUGGAGCAUGCUGGCAACAUCUAGGUUCUUUUUUGUUCAAGCCCGUUUCUUGGAAGGUUCGUCCCUCGCAGCACGUGUUAAACAAUCAAGCAAGUCAGCCUUUAUCGGUUGGAAGACAAGAACGGCGGUGCAUCAGCGCUGGUCGUCAUCGCGGAGGGGCUGCACCUUGCUGUUCCUGGCGGCCAUCUGACUUGAACUUCAAGAACCACUAUAAGGAGCACGCUUCAACAGUUCAACUUCGAUGGGCACGGCAAGACCGGCAGGAGCAUGUUGGCUCAAUCUACGUGCUUUUUAGUUCAGGUAUAUGGCAUUCAAGAAACUCCCGAUGAAACAGAUCAUGGAAUCAGAGAUGCCGAGCCACUGAAGCAGGCGUUGGCGAGCCACCAGAACAAGGCCAACGCUGGGCAGAUGGACGCAACAGAAUCCAAAAUGGCAAUAACCUGACCUGCUGUGGUAAUGAUGAAGUGAAACGAACGCUACAAGAGGAAACAAAACCUGAAGGUCGGUUCUGGCGGCGCCCAUGCCGAGCUGCUGCAAAAGCGUCUGUGACAACACUGGAGAAGAGGAACGAGCAACGUGCCUGAAGUGUGCUUCCUCUCAAGCGGACUUCAAUUAGUCACUAGCCGGUAUCAA
This is a long non-coding RNA of Ixodes scapularis (black-legged tick), 719 nucleotides long. RefSeq lists it as uncharacterized. The record is from RefSeq and is a predicted model, not a curated record. The transcript has 3 exons. Lineage: Eukaryota; Metazoa; Arthropoda; Arachnida; Ixodida; Ixodidae.